This 377-nucleotide ribosomal RNA is filed under the name uncultured bacterium. RNAcentral's name for it is "bacterial SSU rRNA". It matches the Rfam family "Bacterial small subunit ribosomal RNA", at positions 521 to 896 of the family's 1533-position model. The record is from RNAcentral.
UAAUACGUAGGGGGCAAGCGUUGUCCGGAAUCAUUGGGCGUAAAGAGCGCGUAGGCGGCCAGAUAAGUCCGGUGUGAAAGUCACAGGCUCAACCUGUGAAUGCCGCAGGAAACUGUCUGGCUUGAGUCCGGAAGGGGCGAGUGGAAUUCCUGGUGUAGCGGUGAAAUGCGCAGAUAUCAGGAGGAACACCAAUGGCGAAGGCAGCUCGCUGGAACGGUACUGACGCUGAGGCGCGAAAGCGUGGGGAGCGAACAGGAUUAGAUACCCUGGUAGUCCACGCUGUAAACGAUGGGCACUAGGUGUGGGGGGUGUCGACUCCCUCCGUGCCGUAGCUAACGCACUAAGUGCCCCGCCUGGGGAGUACGGCCGCAAGGCUA